GGAGCCUGCGGUUUAAUUGGACUCAACGCCGGGCAGCUCACCGGAUAAGACAGCUGGAUGAUAGCCGGGCUGAAGACUCUGCUUGACUAGCUGAGAGGAGGUGCAUGGCCGUCGUCAGUUCGUACUGUGAAGCAUCCUGUUAAGUCAGGCAACGAGCGAGACCCACGCCAACAGUUGCCAGCAUGUCCUCCGGGAUGAUGGGGACACUGUUGGGACCGCCUCUGCUAAAGAGGAGGAAGGGAAUGGGCAACGGUAGGUCAGCAUGCCCCGAAUUAUCCGGGCUACACGCGGGCUACAAUGGUCAGGACAAUGGGUAUCGACACCGAGAGGUGGAGGCAAUCUCCUAAACCUGUCCUUAGUUCGGAUUGUGGGCUGCAACUCGCCCACAUGAAGCUGGAAUCCGUAGUAAUCGCGUUUCAAAAUAGCGCGGUGAAUAUGUCCCUGCUCCUU
This 450-nucleotide ribosomal RNA is filed under the name uncultured Methanolinea sp. RNAcentral describes it as "bacterial SSU rRNA". It matches the Rfam family "Archaeal small subunit ribosomal RNA", at positions 890 to 1338 of the family's 1478-position model. The record is from RNAcentral. Lineage: Archaea; Methanobacteriati; Methanobacteriota; Methanomicrobia; Methanomicrobiales; Methanoregulaceae.